RNAcentral lists this ribosomal RNA (449 nucleotides) under uncultured bacterium. RNAcentral describes it as "partial 16S ribosomal RNA". It matches the Rfam family "Bacterial small subunit ribosomal RNA", at positions 354 to 796 of the family's 1533-position model. The record is from RNAcentral.
GUGGGGAAUCUUCCGCAAUGGACGAAAGUCUGACGGAGCAACGCCGCGUGAGUGAAGAAGGUUUUCGGAUCGUAAAGCUCUUUCGUUAGGGACGAACGUGCUCUUUGUGAAUAAUGAGGAGUAAUGACGGUACCUAAAUAAGAAGCCACGGCUAACUACGUGCCAGCAGCCGCGGUAAUACGUAGGUGGCAAGCGUUGUCCGGAAUUAUUGGGCGUAAAGCGCGCGCAGGCGGGAUAUCAAGUCUGUCUUAAAAGUGCGAGGCUCAACCUCGUGAGGGGACAGAAACUGGUAUUCUUGAGUGUCGGAGAGGAAAGUGGAAUUCCAAGUGUAGCGGUGAAAUGCGUAGAGAUUUGGAAGAACACCAGUGGCGAAGGCGACUUUCUGGACGAUGUCUGACGCUGAGGCGCGAAAGCUAGGGGAGCGAACGGGAUUAGAAACCCCUGUGUCC